Molecule: non-coding RNA, 2036 nt
Organism: Microcebus murinus (gray mouse lemur)
Lineage: Eukaryota; Metazoa; Chordata; Mammalia; Primates; Cheirogaleidae
Source: RefSeq, a predicted model, not a curated record
AUGUAUAUACCCAAUCAGCAGCGGGCUAUGCAUAUGUCCCGCCUCCUCUGGGGCCCCAGGGACUUUUCCCCAUCACCCUCAGGAAAUGGCACGUGCACAAGACACACUCUGCAGGUAGCAAUCCUGGAGGCAGCUCCUGUACGCUCUCACCUUGGAAGGGUACCUGGACCACUGCUGCUGUUCCUUCCACUCCUACUGACUACUGCCAUUAGCAUUUCCUUUUAUGUUCUGUUCCAGUCACUGUGUAUCUCUUUUGAUUUGCACAAAUCUCUAUAAAGUAGGUUCUAGUGUUUUUCCUGUUAGUCCUACGAGGAUAUCGCUGCUCAGUGAUCCUAACUGACUUGCACGAGGUCACGCAGCUGACCAAGGGCAGAGCUGGGGUGGGACAAAUCUAAAUGUAAGUCAGAAAGCGCUGAGGCUCCCAAUACCCACUGGGGAAAGAAGCCAGUUAGGGCUGUACUCUGCGGAUGAGCUGCGUGUCAUUGCUUUGUCAUGGUUAGCUUCAAGGAUGGCCCGUUUCCCUCGCUGAAAACGCCCCCUGUCUUCUCACCGUCCUCUGGUGGCCUCCCAACUGUCAUCUGGCACACGGAGGCCACAUCACAUCACAGCCCCACCUCAUCUGGCCAACCCCCCUGCCGGAUCCGUCUGGCUUCCAGGCUCCGGCUACAUUUGGGCAAAGCCUUCAGAGAGACCUACUCCCUGGAGGAACUCGCUGAGGGGUUUGCUUGGCAGUUCUGUGUGUGUUUCCUGUCACUUUCACCUGUCUCGUGGAACACAUUGUAAACUAGAAAGCAAAGAACAUGCUCAGUCGAGAAACUCAUCAGUUAUGACUCUGGUUGCCUUGGCGGGUGCAGCACGGUGAGGCACCUGUGACAAGGUAGUCAGACCUCCCUGAGUGUCACUUGGGCACCAUCUGCGGUGGAGGCCUGAGCUUGCAGGGCAGCACCUGAGAGGAGCGCCCAGGAGGCCUGCCUGAGGGAGGAAUGCCUCAGCUGAGCACGUGAGGAUGAAUCAGAGGGGGUAGGUAGAAGACAGCAGGGGCCAGGGGACAGGAGCAGCGUUCCAGGCCGAGGAGACAGCGCACAGCAAAGCCAGAGAGAGCUUGGCGGCUGCAGGAACUGAAAGAAAUCUGCUGAGGCUGGAAUCACCAGGCGCAACAAAGGGAGUAUGGAGGGAUGAAUCUAGAAGGCAACCUGGAAGACUGGAAUCUGGGAGACCAGAGAGAAUCCUCUGACAACAGCCCGGACCAGGGCAGAUGAAGAUCUAUUGAUACCAGCCAGUGGCUAAGUCAAUGGCAUUACUGAAAGUCAACUCUGGACAGCGCAUUGUUGGGAUCGAGAGGGACCCACAGAGAUUGUAGAAGAGAAGGUCUCUUCCAUGAGCUUGGCAGCUGGGAAGAAAAGCCAUUGUUGUGGAAGAAACAUCAAGGCUCAUGGACGGAGAGGUGCAGCUUCUCCCAUGAAACUGGCAUCUGACACUCAUCACUGAAUGAUUUGCUGAAUAAGAUGCCCUUCCUGGCUGAGAACCGGCCUGAGAGAAGGGAGGCUGUGGGAAAAAAACAAAGGAUGACUUUGAAAGAAAGAUCUUGUUGGAAAGUCACAGGAGCUGACCCUUGGGUGCUAAGCCUCGCAGAGGAGAAACUGGGAGGGUGAGUUCCCUUAAACAUCAGUCCCUUGGCGGUAAUUUCUUUACCUUUUUUUGUGUGUUUUUUCUUUUCUUAGUGGGUUCAGAAAAAAUGCUGAGCCCUUACAAUUUCUCUCUAUGGCUACAUUUUAUCUAACUUUAAUAAAAGCGCCGGCAAGCAGAAGUAGGAAUGUCUGUCACACAUACUUCCUGACGUGUACAAUGCUCAUAAAAAAUGUGUUGUUUACUGGAAGCUUCUAACUCAGGGGUGGAUGGUGGGCUGGGGGGAAGGGUCUGGGUAGAGAGUAGGAAAAAGGAAGAACAAUGCCUCUCUAAGUCAAUUCAGACAAUUAACAUUCCACCACGAGGACACCAACUGUCAGGAAAGAUUUCAAUAGAAUGAAUAAUCUUGG